This 74-nucleotide transfer RNA is filed under the name Aspergillus unguis. RNAcentral's name for it is "tRNA-Val". RNAcentral also lists the same sequence under 12 other names. Lineage: Eukaryota; Fungi; Ascomycota; Eurotiomycetes; Eurotiales; Aspergillaceae. The record is from RNAcentral.
GGCUGGUUAGUGUAGUUGGUUAUCACGUCUCGUUCACACCGAGGAGGUCGCCGGAUCGAGCCCGGCACUAGUCA